GAUGAACGCUGGCGGCGUGCUUAACACAUGCAAGUCGAACGGAAAGGCUCCUGCUUGCAGGGGUACUCGAGUGGCGAACGGGUGAGUAACACGUGGGUGAUCUGCCCUGCACUUCGGGAUAAGCCUGGGAAACUGGGUCUAAUACCGGAUAGGACGAUGUUUUGGAUGCCAUUGUGGAAAGUUUUUUCGGUGUGGGAUGAGCUCGCGGCCUAUCAGCUUGUUGGUGGGGUAAUGGCCUACCAAGGCGUCGACGGGUAGCCGGCCUGAGAGGGUGUACGGCCACAUUGGGACUGAGAUACGGCCCAGACUCCUACGGGAGGCAGCAGUGGGGAAUAUUGCACAAUGGGCGCAAGCCGGAUGCAGCGACGCCGCGUGGGGGAUGACGGCCUUCGGGUUGUAAACUCCUUUCGCUAGGGACGAAGCGCAAGUGACGGUACCUGGAGAAGAAGCACCGGCUAACUACGUG
RNAcentral lists this ribosomal RNA (466 nucleotides) under uncultured bacterium. RNAcentral's name for it is "partial 16S ribosomal RNA". It matches the Rfam family "Bacterial small subunit ribosomal RNA", at positions 28 to 507 of the family's 1533-position model. The record is from RNAcentral.